Bombina bombina (fire-bellied toad) is the source of this 335-nucleotide long non-coding RNA. RefSeq lists it as uncharacterized. The record is from RefSeq and is a predicted model, not a curated record. The transcript has 3 exons. Lineage: Eukaryota; Metazoa; Chordata; Amphibia; Anura; Bombinatoridae.
CCAAAAGUUAUUUUCAUUCUACUACUCUUGAUAUAUAUGGGUAAAAAAGACAAGACGUCAAAAACUUCACACAAAUAUAUGGUUUUCUGGAGAAACAAACAAAGAAGAAAAGACUAUAAAUUAUAAGCAAUAUUCAUGCUGCAAGGCAACGCGGGGUCUGCUAUAAAUAAACAUAUGUACAGCAGAGGUGACUCACAUCCUUGAUCUAAACCAGUGUGCUUAUAUUGCUUCUUUUAUAUUUCUAGUCAGUGAAAGAUACAGGCAGUGACCUAGGUAUGUAAGUACAAACCCACCCUUGUAUGAAACAAGAAUAUGCCCUCCAAUUAGAAGAAUCA